RNAcentral lists this long non-coding RNA (1355 nucleotides) under Phasianus colchicus (ring-necked pheasant). RNAcentral's name for it is "lncRNA (ENSPCLG00000002944.1)". The record is from RNAcentral. Lineage: Eukaryota; Metazoa; Chordata; Aves; Galliformes; Phasianidae.
CUUAAUCUGAGAUAGCAAGUAGGCACCUGUACCCAAGGCUUAUGGCCACAGGACUCUUCUCUCCAAGGUGAAGGGCUCAAGAAUUAUCCGAACUCCUCUUCUUCUUAAAGAAAACUUUACCUCGCAGCCCAAAGCAAAAAUGCAAACUAAGCAGCAGAAACCUUGCUGGAGGGAAAGAUGCCAGCUUUCCUCUGCACAGUACUCACACCCCAGAAGCUUAGUUCCAGACCACGGCAGGACCUCAGAUGUGCAUUUGUGGGCCAGCUCCUGCUGUCAUCUGACCCUCUGCUCUGGGAAGAACAGAGGAUAUACCAUUAUGAGACAGUCUGUAGCCACAUACAGGCUGAAGAAAGGGAUGAAGAAGAAAAGAGGUGGGACAGAUCACACAGCACCUCAUGCCUUGCUUCAAUGGAUGCAGAAGUCAUGCAGAGCUUGGCUGAAAAACCGCUCUCUUCUAAUAGGUUGUACAUGAUUUUUCCGUUAGAUGUAAAAUGGUUGAAGCCUUUGGGAAAACUGCUUGCAAGCAUGGGCUUGGAUCCAUGCAAUAAUUUGCUCUUGCUUUGUGCCAGAGUAAUCCCACUGCCUUUAAAGGAGGUGUAGACAGGGAUGAUGUGCCCAGGUAGCAGAGCUGAUUUCUUCUUUAGGCAUCCACUUGUGCAAUCAUCAGCUCUUGGCUGAGUUACUAUGGUAAUAAGAGUAUACUGUGGGCAUUACACUUGCUGUCACCAGGAUCAGAGGAGAGGGCGAUGCUUUGUGCUCAGUGAUGCAUCUGAGAGAGCUUUAAAGACACUGAGCAGGGUGCUGCCCUGGAGCUCAGCUGCCUGCCAACAGGCACCAGGCUGCUCUCACCAAGGGAGAAGGAGGUGACAGGUGCUAAACGCCUGCAAGGAGCUGUGACCUGGACCUGAACAGAUGAGCAGCCUCUGAACUGGCUCUGCAAAAUGAAGUACAGGACCUGGGUUCUAUGCCUGCAUGCAAACACUACUGAAUCUGUCCUUUCUUCCAGGCCUGAAAAGCUUAUGGAAAAAAAGCUUCUACUGGUGCAGAGACCCUGUUUUGUGCAGCACGGAGUGUUAAAUAGCACCUUGUGCAGAGACUGUGAGUAUGUGGGAGGAGCUCUCAGGUCCUGCUCUGGCAGCCCCAAGCACUGCUUCCUUCCAGCUCUGCACUGCUUCAUCCUAUUUUUAUCACUUGGGCUGCAGUUUUUAUAUACUAUUCUUAUCCUUCAUUACUGAUUACACCUGAUUAUGAAGGAACUUAAAUUUCCUCAACAUGCAUUAAUGACUAUUUUGCUCAGCAUAAAUCAGAGAGCAGCAGUGGCAGUCACAGGUGAGGAAUGGGGUUCUGCAUAGGGG